UUAGAUCUGGCAAGAAGAUCAGGAAGACUCGGAAAUAUGAUAUAAUCACUACACCUGCCGAAAGAGUCGAGAUGGCUCCCUUAAACGAAGAAAAUGAGGAUGAAGACGACUCGACUCUUUUUGAUGUAAAAUACAGGUGAAUAUCAUCAUGAAAUCUGUAUGAUGUUACAGCACAUGUUGAAUUUUACUGGAUACACCAAAUUAGGACUUUACUCGCUGUGUCUCCACGCAACUCCCCUCCAUUGAUCAUUUCCAGUCUUCAGUGGUGUAAGCGGGACAUUGGAGGAAGGUCAAAUCAUCCCGGCAUGUUUUCCAUUUCAUGGCUCCAAUAAGAAUGGCAUGGAGGACUCCACGUUUUAUCCCUGGCCAUCUCUGCAUUUGCCUGUUGAUAAUCAAAUAAAUGUUCUUGUUGGAACUCUUUUGCCUAGAACUUACCUGCAUAUCAAGAGGGAAUGUGAAAUUAGAUUAAACAUUUAGCCAUAGUUCAUAGUUAAAAGACGAGAAAGGAAAAGUUACUUCACUACUUUACUUUACCAACAGAACUGUUGCACUUCAUCUGAAACCAAUGCUAAGGUUUUCUUUUGGAAGUCCAAUAUUAGUAAUACCUCUGGGAAUGCACUGAAGAAGUAUGGAGCUCAUGUGAGACACUGCUGGUAUUCAAUGGUUUUUGCUACUGACAUUCAUUUCCCAUGUCACAUGUUCAUAUUUUAUUGGGGGGGGAUGGUAUGCAUUCUUGUGCUCACCUAAUGUGUCAUCAUGUAGUUUAAGAUUGACGCUAAUAUGUGUUAUACACAAUGCACAUAUCUCUAAUUGGUAUCAUUCCCAUAAAAGAUUCGAAGAAACCAGUUCUUGACAAACAGACCAAACCAAAAGGCUCAAGGUUUUCAUGUAAUCUCUUUAACCUUUCGACACUUCAGACCCUUAGACAUUUUUUGUAAACUUUUUACAAUAUUGAAAACCACUAUUAGUGCGUACAUACUGUAUGACUUUCAGUUUGUGUCCUUGAACUGAAUACCUGUGUGGGCUUGCACUGGCUGCAAUGGCUUCAGUUAGUUCUGUUAACAUAUGGACAUAUCAGUAAGAUGUCAGCCUAAAUGUGUUGAGUGCUCUUGGUAGCCAAAUAAUAAAAUAUUUAAAUGAUAUAACUUCCUUUGUUCUUAACCAGCAAAACCUUCACAAGUGUUGGAAACAAAUAUGUUUUCUACAUGAAACACAUCUUGAGAAGUUACAAAGUGUUGGAAGACAGAUCCACCAUCUGUUUUCAUGUUUGGACAAACUUUUAGGAGUUGUGUAUGUGGUCACAUCAUGGGAUCCUGUUCAUUUAUGCUCCAUAACCUAUGUACAAGUGUAUAGCCUGUUAUACUGAGGUUGUUUUGCCAUGCAAUAUCUGUAUAUGUGCAGACUUUCAAGUUGAAUGAGAGUUAACGUCUCGUUGACUGAUUCAACAGAGCCUAUUCUGUGUACUGCUGCCGUUAAUGAUUGACCAUAGUAACUGGUCAUGGCGUGCCACAGAGUCAGUCAGCCAGCCAACUUAACACCUCAGAAAUUGUUUAUAGGGAUUUAUUUGAAGAUCAUUUUUACAGUCAUAUACUAUGAAUAACAUACUUUGGACAGGUUAAAUCGAUUAACUAUAGAAGAAAGAUGGUUCAUUUUAUUUUGUGUUUUUUUUUUUAGGUCAUGACAAUUAUUUUUUGAGACAUAUCUGUUAUUCUUGCAGUCAAUUGAAGCAUUGAAAAAUCAUCUGCGUCGGUUCUGGGUUUGGAAUAGAAGUGUGCACAAAGGGUGGUGAAUGGAAUGACCGCGUGCAUUAUCAGUGGGGUUGGGAACGGGGCAUUCUUUUUGGUUUAAGUGUUCAAGUUGGCUAACAACAUAAAAUUAAGUCCAAGUAUAAAUACUUUUUAUAAACAGAAUACAAUGGGUGGGGCGCUGUACUUAGAUGUUCAAAGUCUAAUUAGGGGAAUGAUUGAUUCAUGUGUCAGAAUGACUUUCUAAUGACUGGAAAUUCCAUCCAGACUGGUAAUGCACUCUACAAAAGCAUGUUUUUUUAUGCCUUUCUUGAAAAGUCAUAAACAUUAUCUUUUUUAUUAUUAUUAUUAUUUUUUUUUUUACUUCCAUCAUGUUUUCAGACCAAUUCUUUCUAUGUCCAUAGUCAUCCUCUGCACUUUAGACUGUGGUGCAUCAUGUCUAUGCACCCUGUUGAAGCAUCAAUCUACUAAUGCAAUGGUGUUGUAAAGAAACACUUGUUAAUUCAUGCAUAUUUCCUUAGAUGUUUGCCAUCUAUGGCAAGCCAUCUAUGUUUUUGCAUUCAUCUUUAAAUGAACAUUUUUUUUUUUUUUUUAAUCAUUUGUGAAGAAUGUCACAUGCUAAUGUGCUGGUUUUGUUGAUUUGUGUAUACUUCAUAGCCACAGAUUGUGUGUUCAUUUUGAUAAUCGUCAUAUAUAUAUAUAUAUACAAAUACAUAUAUAUACAUAUAUAUAUAUAUAUAUAUAUAGAACAUGAUUUUGACAUAGGUCAAGUGACUGAACCAUGUGUUCCAUAGUUAUUAAAAACUGGAAUCUUCAAAAAUUGUAUAUUUCAAUGAGUUAAAUAUUUUAUUUUCAUAAAGAUUGUAAUAAAUUAAUAUUCUUCCUGUUUUGUUAUAUAUGGAACUGAUUUCUCUGUACAUGUCUGAUGUCUUCAAACUGUCCUUAUACUCUCACCGUGACUUCUGUUGUCUCCUUAGUCCUAGGAAUAAACUAGUGGCAGAUUCACCACAGAAUAAAAUCCGCUGUGAGCCCACAACAGUUGCAUGUGCUACAGCUUUUUUUUUUAGACUGACCACAAGACAGAUUUCUUUGAUGUUAGUAUAGUUAUUCAGUGUGAUUAUGGUGUGAAAUACCACAGAAAUAUAGGGGAAAACAACAACAACUGUCAAACUGUUUGAUCUUUGCUUUUUAAAAAAAGCUCUUUGAGAGCCUCUAAGAAAACAUCACUUCAACGUCUAGAGUGUCUACAAGUGGUCUGAAAAUAAAUGAUUUUACAAAAACAA
Molecule: long non-coding RNA, 3028 nt
Organism: Sardina pilchardus (European sardine)
Lineage: Eukaryota; Metazoa; Chordata; Actinopteri; Clupeiformes; Clupeidae
Exons: 2
Source: RefSeq, a predicted model, not a curated record